GUCGUGGAGAGGAGGCUCAGGGGGACCGGGGCCAGUCCACUCAGGGCCUGAACAGAGCAACGUGGUACAGGAAGGGAGGGUGGCUGUCCCUGCCUGACUGCCGAGCUGGGACACGGACCUGCUCCUCCCUCCAGGGCUCCUGGUUCUCAGGGCUUCAGACCCACCCUAGAAUCUACACCACAGGCUCUCCUGGGUCUCCAGCUUGCAGACAACAGAUCCUGGGUCUUCCCAUCCUCCAUAAUCACGAUGAUCAGCUUUGCGAAGGAACAGAUCAGAUACGGUGUCGUAUCAAAUGGCCUCCAGGAGGGGGAGCAGCAACUCCUGCAGCCCUGAAACCCGUCCUCCAGCCAAGGGCACGAUGUUUCUCAGAGGUGUCCCAUACAACCACCUCCACCCCCACCACCCCCAUGAUCACCAUCACUGCCAACAGCACCGCCAACCACUGCUGCCUCCACAACCUCAGCCACCGCCGACAUCAUACCCUCUACAGCCUCCAUGUAGCCACUGCCUCCAACAUCAUCACCAAUACUACCAUCAUCACCUCCACCACCUUCUCAAAAAGAGAAAAAGAAGAACAAAUACAGCUAAUAUAUGGCCCUAAAUGUUAAGGGCUGAGAAGUGCUAUGGGAAAGACGAACAAGACAGAGCACGCAGGAGCCCUUAGGCAUAUGGGGUGAUGCCAAGUUGCCAUUGUAAACAGGCUAUUGGAGUGUGUCUAAUUAAGAUGGUAUUUGCCCAAAGACUGGAAGUAGGAAUAAAUUAGCCAAG
RNAcentral lists this long non-coding RNA (768 nucleotides) under Equus asinus (donkey). RNAcentral describes it as "lncRNA (ENSEASG00005036649.1)". The record is from RNAcentral. Lineage: Eukaryota; Metazoa; Chordata; Mammalia; Perissodactyla; Equidae.